GACAGUACUGACGCUGAGAUGCGAAAGCGUGGGGAGCAAACAGGAUUAGAUACCUGGUAGUCACGCUGUAAACGAUGUCAAUUUGGAGUUUGUUGCCUAGAGUGAUGGGCUCCGAAGCUAACGCGAUAAAUCGACCGCUGGGGAGCACGGCCGCAAGGUUAAAACUCAAAUGAAUUGACGGGGGCCCGCACAAGCGGUGGAGCAUGUGGUUUAAUUCGAUGCAACGCGAAGAACCUUACCUGGUCUUGACAUCCAUAGAAUUCUGCAGAGAUGUGGGAGUGCCUUCGGGAACUAUGAGACAGGUGCUGCAUGGCUGUCGUCAGCUCGUGUUGUGAAAUGUUGGGUUAAGUCCCGCAACGAGCGCAACCCUUAUUCUUUGUUGCCAGCGAUUUGGUCGGGAACUCAAAGGAGACUGCCGUUGAUAAAGCGGAGGAAGGUGGGGACGACGUCAAGUCAUCAUGGCCCUUACGACCAGGGCUACACACGUGCUACAAUGGCGUAUACAAAGGGAAGCGAAGGUGCGAGCUGGAGCGGAUCUCAUAAAGUACGUCUAAGUUCGGAUUGGAGUCUGCAACUCGACUCCAUGAAGUCGGAAUCGCUAGUAAUCGUAGAUCAGAAUGCUACGGUGAAUACGUUCCCGGGCCUUGUACACACCGCCCGUCACACCAUGGGAGUGGGUUGCACCAGAAGUAGAUAGCUUAACCGCGAGGGGGGCGUUUACCACGGUGUGAUUCAUGACUGGGGUGAAGUCGUAACAAGGUAACCA
This 766-nucleotide ribosomal RNA is filed under the name uncultured Enterobacteriaceae bacterium. Its description in RNAcentral is "bacterial SSU rRNA". It matches the Rfam family "Bacterial small subunit ribosomal RNA", at positions 733 to 1502 of the family's 1533-position model. Lineage: Bacteria; Pseudomonadati; Pseudomonadota; Gammaproteobacteria; Enterobacterales; Enterobacteriaceae. The record is from RNAcentral.